GAUAUAUACCAAGGUUUGAGAACUUAGGUUGAAAGCCUGUUCUAGGCUUUCCUUUCUCCUGGAAAAAAGAUUGCGCUGUCAAGUGCUAUCGACCCUGAAAACGUCUGGUCUGAGGCCAAUUAAAGCUCUCUAAAGCUGCAGGAGCUGGCAGGACGCUGCGUGCAGAGGCCUCGCACAAAACCCUUCAGACCAUAGUUCCUGGCAUCAAACAGCACCACUCGACACCUCAGCUUGGGGACUGUGUGCAGAAGCUUCUCAUAAGAUGUUGUGAUUCAAGAUGGCAGGGGUUUGGAGAUACUGCUUUCAGCCUGUCCGUUUUGCAAGAACUCUACCCUCCUUCCCCAGAAGGGGAACUCUAAGAAGCAGCACCAACCACAACCUGUCCUGGAGGGGAGAGUGUGUGUGCUCUUGAGUGUGAGUCCAUACCUCUUCAUUCUCUGACCAAAAAACAAAACAUUCUUUUGCUUCUGAA
Molecule: long non-coding RNA, 472 nt
Organism: Bubalus bubalis (water buffalo)
Lineage: Eukaryota; Metazoa; Chordata; Mammalia; Artiodactyla; Bovidae
Exons: 2
Source: RefSeq, a predicted model, not a curated record